Molecule: ribosomal RNA, 253 nt
Filed under: uncultured bacterium
Lineage: Bacteria
Description: partial 16S ribosomal RNA
Rfam family: Bacterial small subunit ribosomal RNA
Source: RNAcentral
GACGGAGGGUGCAAGCGUUGUUCGGAUUGACUGGGCGUAAAGGGCGUGUAGGCGGUUGGUCAAGUCUGGUGUGAAAGCCCGGGGCUUAACCCCGGAAGUGCGCUGGAAACUAGCCAGCUAGAGCGCGAGAGAGGAGGGUGGAAUUCCUGGUGUAGCGGUGAAAUGCGUAGAUAUCGUCUGGAACGCCGAAGGUGAAAACAGCUCGCUGGGGCUGCGCUGACGCUGAGACACGAAAGCCAGGGGAGCGAACGGG